AUUGAACGCUGGCGGCAGGCUUAACACAUGCAAGUCGAGCGAGCGGCGGCCGGGUGAGUAAUGUCUGGGAAACUGCCUGAUGGAGGGGGAUAACUACUGGCAACGGUAGCUAAUACCGCAUACCCUCAGAUGUGCCCAGAUGGGAUUAGCUGGUAGGUGGGGUAAUGGCUCACCUAGGCGACGAUCCCUAGCUGGUCGGAGAGGAUGACCAGCCACAAUGGACGUGAGACACGGUCCAGAUGCCGACGGGAGGCAGCGGGGGGGAAUAUUGCAAAAUGGGCGCAAGCCUGAUGCAGCCAUGCCGCGUGUGUGAAGAAGGCCUUCGGGUUGUAAAGCACUUUCAGCGAGGAGGCGUUACUCGCAGAAGAAGCACCGGCUAACUCCGUGCCAGCAGCCGCGGUAAUAC
Molecule: ribosomal RNA, 406 nt
Filed under: uncultured bacterium
Lineage: Bacteria
Description: partial 16S ribosomal RNA
Rfam family: Bacterial small subunit ribosomal RNA
Source: RNAcentral